RNAcentral lists this ribosomal RNA (665 nucleotides) under uncultured Bacteroidota bacterium. RNAcentral describes it as "bacterial SSU rRNA". It matches the Rfam family "Bacterial small subunit ribosomal RNA", at positions 33 to 692 of the family's 1533-position model. Lineage: Bacteria; Pseudomonadati; Bacteroidota. The record is from RNAcentral.
ACGCUAGCGGCAGGCUUAUACAUGCAAGUCGAGGGGCAGCAUGGGGUAGCAAUACUCUGAUGGCGACCGGCAAACGGGUGCGGAACACGUACGCAACCUUCCCGAAACUGGGGAAUAGCCCUCCGAAAGGAGGAUUAAUACCCCGUAACAUAGUGAAGAGGCAUCUCUUUAUUAUUAUAGCUCCGGCGGUUUUGGAUGGGCGUGCGCCUGAUUAGGUAGUUGGCGGGGUAACGGCCCACCAAGCCUACGAUCAGUAACUGGUGUGAGAGCACGACCAGUCACACGGGCACUGAGACACGGGCCCGACUCCUACGGGAGGCAGCAGUAAGGAAUAUUGGUCAAUGGACGCAAGUCUGAACCAGCCAUGCCGCGUGAAGGAUGAAGGUCCUCUGGAUUGUAAACUUCUUUUAUCUGGGACGAAAAAAGGGAAUUCUUUCCCACUUGACGGUACCAGAGGAAUAAGCACCGGCUAACUCCGUGCCAGCAGCCGCGGUAAUACGGAGGGUGCAAGCGUUAUCCGGAUUUACUGGGUUUAAAGGGUGCGUAGGUGGGCAGGUAAGUCAGUGGUGAAAUCUUCGAGCUCAACUCGGAAACUGCCAUUGAUACUAUCUGUCUUGAAUAUCCUGGAGGUGAGCGGAAUAUGUCAUGUAGCGGUGAAAUGCUUA